This 426-nucleotide ribosomal RNA is filed under the name uncultured bacterium. RNAcentral describes it as "bacterial SSU rRNA". It matches the Rfam family "Bacterial small subunit ribosomal RNA", at positions 354 to 796 of the family's 1533-position model. The record is from RNAcentral.
GUGAGGAAUUUUCCGCAAUGGGCGAAAGCCUGACGGAGCAAUGCCGCGUGAAGGAUGAAGGCCUAUGGGUUGUAAACUUCUUUUCUCAGAAAAGAAUUAUGACGGUAUCUGAGGAAUAAGCAUCGGCUAACUCUGUGCCAGCAGCCGCGGUAAGACAGAGGAUGCAAGCGUUAUCCGGAAUGAUUGGGCGUAAAGCGUCUGUAGGUUGUUUAAAAAGUAUUCUGUCAAAGAUUAGGGCUUAACCCUAGAUAGGCAGAAUAAACUUUUAAGCUAGAGUUUGGUAGAGGCAGAGGGAAACCCCGGUGGAGCGGAGAAAUGCGUAGAUAUCGGGAGGAACACCAAAGGCGAAGGCACUCUGCUGGGCCAAUACUAACACUGACAGACGAAAGCGAGGGGAGCAAAUGGGAUUAGAUACCCCGGUAGUCC